ACGGCUCAGUAACACGUAGAUAAUCUACCCUUAGGUGAAGGAUAAGCACGGGAAACUGUGUCUAAUACUUCAUAAAGGUGAUGCGCUGGAACGCGCUUACCUUGAAACUCGUGCCUAAGGAUGAGUCUGCGGAUGAUUAGCUUGUUGGUGGGGUAACUGCCUACCAAGGCAAUGAUCAUUACGGGCUCUUAGCGGAGUUGCCCGGAGACGGAAUCUGAGACACUAUUCCGAGCUCUACGGAGUGCAGCAGUCGCGGAACUUUUACAAUGCACGAAAGUGUGAUAAAGCGAACCAAAGUGCUAUUCUUUUUGAAUAGCUUUUUUCCAACGUAAAAACUUGGAAGAAUAAGGACUGGGAAAGACUGGUGCCAGCCGCCGCGGUAAUACCAGCAGUUCAAGUUGCAUCCAGUUUUAUUGGGUCUAAAACAUCCGUAGCUUGCCGUUUAAGUCUCUUGUGAAAUCCUACGUCUCAAGCGUGGUGAAGUGCAGGAGAUACUGGGCGGCUAGAGAUCGGUAGACGUAAGCAGUACGCGACGGGUAACGGUCAAAUGUGUUAAUCCGUCGUGGACUAACAAUCAGCGAAGGCAGCUUACGAGGACGAAUCUGACAGUGAGGGAUGAAGGCCAGGGGCGCAAAACGGAUUAGAUACCCGUGUAGUCCUGGCAGUAAACACUGUUCACUAAACAUCGGGCCCUCUUCGGGAGGAUUCGGUGCUGAAGGGAAGCCGCAGAGUGAACUACCUGGGAAGUAUAGUCGCAAGGCCGAAACUUAAAGGAAUUGGCGGGGGAGCAC
This 791-nucleotide ribosomal RNA is filed under the name uncultured archaeon. RNAcentral's name for it is "bacterial SSU rRNA". It matches the Rfam family "Archaeal small subunit ribosomal RNA", at positions 85 to 879 of the family's 1478-position model. The record is from RNAcentral.